RNAcentral lists this long non-coding RNA (1377 nucleotides) under Felis catus (domestic cat). RNAcentral's name for it is "lncRNA (ENSFCAG00000050181.1)". The record is from RNAcentral. Lineage: Eukaryota; Metazoa; Chordata; Mammalia; Carnivora; Felidae.
AUGAGUGGAGAUUCCUUCCUGAUAUUAUCUGAGCACCUGGAUCUACACAUACCUCCCUGUGAACUUUUCCAUUGUGAGCAAGUGACUUUCCUACUUUGCUUAAGCCUGUUUUAUUUGGAUUUAUGCCCUCUGUAGCUAGAAUCUGUGCCCUUUACCCACCUAGGUUUAACAGGAUUUUAUUAAAUUUAUGAUCCUGAGGCACUGGAAUGCAAAAAACCCAUUAGGAUAAUUUCCUUUAAUUCUGCAGAUUUCAGUAAACCCAGGGUUAACCUUUAAUCUGUUGAGAACUAUAUCCUAAUACUAGCAUUUCCUUUGUGUUAAAACUAAGUAGAAAUUUUAUGUUGACAGGAUAAUUUUUAAUUCAGGCUACUAGAAAAUAAAAUACCAUAUCUGUCUUUAUAGUACACUGGAGCAGACUAGACAUCACUGAAUUUUUGCCCCCCCAACCCUUUAUGCAUAUUUUCUUGCCUUUUAUUUAUUUUUUUAGUUACCAUUUGUCUUGAGAACAUAUAAGCUGUAAAGUGAGUCAUUUCCUUCUCAGUGAAUUCUUUUUCAAUCUGAUGUCAUUAUUAAAUUCCACAAUUAUAAAUUGUCAGUUACCCUAAGUUCCUGGUAUUGUUUAGGUCUCUGUUUAGCUGCAUUUUAAAAUUAAAGCAUUCACUCUUAGAUUAUUUAAACAACAGGACAAUUACAGUUUUCGUUAUUCUGUUAACCUCUGUACCAUGUGUGAAACUUUUGCCGUCUUUUAAAAAUUUUAUUUUAUUUUUUAAUUUUUGGAAUGUUGGAGCUAAUUCUCAACUAGAGGAAAUGUUUGAAGUAGUUCUCAAACCUCGGGAUGCUGACAACAGAAAUAGGUAAUCUGAAGCCUUCAGAAGAAAUCAAACAAUCAGAUUCUUAGAUUCUAAGCCCUUUUGAGUCCUGAGUGAACCAAGACUGUCAUCUUCCCAGGGUACCUCCUGACCAAGAAAAACAAAUACUUCAAAGACCAGAUGGUAAGUGUCUAGUGCUCACAUCUAAUCCAAACUCUGGAACCGCAUCCUCACAUUUCAUUCCACCUUGAACCUUGGCUGAGCUCCAGCAAGACUUGGGUUUUAAUGAAUCAUUCUUGAUUAGUCACAGCGCAAUACUCAAAUAGUCUCUUCUGGCUUAGAAAUCGUAGCUUGCAGAUCCUCGAUUAUUAUUUAAUUCCUUAAUGUUCUUCCUUGUUUUCUCUAAAUGCCACAUCAUUUUAUCACAAUGCAAAUUAUUUUGGAACUCAAGGGACACAAUUAUCUGGCUGCUAAAGCAACUUUUGAAAAAUGAACCACUCUUAGCAUAAAAUCUGUUAAUCCGAAUUCUGCUAAUCCACCACAAUGAAUAAAAUCCUAUAAAGUCACA